GGGGGCGUACUGGUUUCGACCUGGGAACUGCGCCGGAGGCGGCAUGCCGAGGACGAUGCGUUGGCCUCGUAAAUCAUCGCAUCAAACAAAACUGCUAACGAAGAGUUGGCUCUCGCGGCCUAACGCGCCGUGACGUUCACCGGUGAACACCUGCUACGCCGGAGGAACGCAACAGCAGGCAUGGGUUGACGCGGAGACGGCGCGCGGCGGCCCGAGAUUUUUCAUGCCGGCUAGGCGGCGGGGAAGCGUGUCGGAAGGCGUUCCCGCGGCUGAAGUCAAGUUCCGACUAAGCAUGUAGUCGCGGCCGGGGUUGUUGUCAGGGACAGGGGUUCGACUCCCCUCGCCUCCACCA
Molecule: transfer-messenger RNA, 352 nt
Filed under: Verrucomicrobiota bacterium
Lineage: Bacteria; Pseudomonadati; Verrucomicrobiota
Description: Verrucomicrobia bacterium transfer-messenger RNA
Rfam family: transfer-messenger RNA
About the family: Bacterial tmRNA, also known as 10Sa RNA or SsrA, is named for its dual tRNA and mRNA-like properties.
Source: RNAcentral